GAUGAACGCUGGCGGCGUGCCUAAUACAUGCAAGUCGAGCGCAGGAAAUCGACGGAACCCUUCGGGGGGAAGUCGACGGAAUGAGCGGCGGACGGGUGAGUAACACGUAAAGAACCUGCCCUCAGGUCUGGGAUAACCACGAGAAAUCGGGGCUAAUACCGGAUGGGUCAUCGGACCGCAUGGUCCGAGGAUGAAAGGCGCUUCGGCGUCGCCUGGGGAUGGCUUUGCGGUGCAUUAGCUAGUUGGUGGGGUAAUGGCCCACCAAGGCGACGAUGCAUGGCCGACGUGAGAGGGUGAGCGGCCAAACUGGGACUGAGACACGGCCCAGACUCCUACGGGAGGCAGCAGUAGGGAAUCUUCCACAAUGGACGAAAGUCUGAUGGAGCAACGCCGCGUGAACGAUGAAGGCCUUCGGGUCGUAAAGUUCUGUUGUAAGGGAAGAACAAGUGCCGCAGGCAAUGGCGGCACCUUGACGGUACCUUGCGAGAAAGCCACGGCUAACUACGUGCCAGCCGCCGCCGUAA
This 524-nucleotide ribosomal RNA is filed under the name uncultured bacterium. Its description in RNAcentral is "partial 16S ribosomal RNA". It matches the Rfam family "Bacterial small subunit ribosomal RNA", at positions 28 to 523 of the family's 1533-position model. The record is from RNAcentral.